UAGUAAUCACUGCCAGUUAAAAAUUAUUUGUGUACCAUCAAUCUAGAGCCAAAAAAUUUGCAAUUUUUCAGUAGGCUGUCAAUAUACUGAUGACUACACGUUUAAAUUUAAUACAGAAAUACAUGCCAACUCCACGUAGAUUAUAAAUUGUAUAACUAUUAAGUAUAAAGAAAGACAUUUGAAAUAGUAAAAAUUAAGCUUUCAAGAUAUAUGUCUUAUUGGAACAUCAUUAUGCAUGCUAUUAAACUGGCCAAGUAUUGUCUGUAGAAGGAAUAGGUGCAUCAUACGAUCUCCUCGCUGGCGGGUGCUUUUGGCCGGAGGAAGUAGCAGGUACAUGAUGUAACACAUUGAUGGAUUCCUUCGCACGCUAGCUAGCUAGCUUAUUGAUGCGUUCCGUCUCGACUCGCACGGAUACCAUGGAAAGUACGUACAUAGAUCUAUUUGAUAACAUGCAGCUCAUAGUUUGUACCGGCCACCUGAAAAUCCAUCCACAUGCCAACUUCAAGUACUUGCUCAUCUCUUCGUGACUUAUUUGUCAGUCCAACUACUCAUCAUCACAAAAAAAAAAUCUAUGAAACAAAGGCAUGAUUGAUCAAUCAAUAUGCUCGUUAGUUUAACUUCUAGAUGGCCAUGAACCUGUUUUCUUUCUACUACUAUCUAAGAUGACAGAGGCAUCAGAUAGAACAGGAGUAGUAGGAUUACCUGAUGGCAUUAGGCUGGUUGGCGAGUCGCAACAGCAGCAGGCCACGGCCAGCAUGGACGCACCCUCACCGCCGGGCUACCACGCGUAGCACACUUGAAGUUGCGCCCACCCCACCCCACGUAUGCAUGGCUGGAACAUGCAGGAUGCAGCAUGGCCGCAUGCAUUAACGCCCGCCCCG
Molecule: long non-coding RNA, 881 nt
Filed under: Triticum aestivum (bread wheat)
Lineage: Eukaryota; Viridiplantae; Streptophyta; Magnoliopsida; Poales; Poaceae
Description: long non-coding RNA (TAES_LNC017253)
Source: RNAcentral